Molecule: ribosomal RNA, 254 nt
Filed under: uncultured bacterium
Lineage: Bacteria
Description: partial 16S ribosomal RNA
Rfam family: Bacterial small subunit ribosomal RNA
Source: RNAcentral
UACGAAGGGGGCUAGCGUUGCUCGGAAUCACUGGGCGUAAAGCGCACGUAGGCGGUUUCUUAAGUCAGGGGUGAAAUCCUGGAGCUCAACUCCAGAACUGCCUUUGAUACUGGGAGACUUCGAGUCCGGGAGAGGUGGGUGGAACUGCGAGUGUAGAGGUGAAAUUCGUAGAUAUUCGCAAGAACACCAGUGGCGAAGGCGGCUCACUGGCCCGGUACUGACGCUGAGGCACGAAAGCGUGGGGAGCAAACAGG